AGUGAACGCUGGCGGCAUGCCUAACACAUGCAAGUCGAACGACAGCACCCUAAGCUCUUACUCGUACGUCUGGUGACUGACGGAUGAGUGAGACGUAGGUCAGCAUCUACUUUGACGUGGAUAAUAUCCUGGAGCAACUGCUACUAAUACCUCGUACGACGUACGGCUGAAAUCAAGGAAUCUUAGAACCUUACGCUUUUGAAGGUGGCUGUGCCGGUGUAGCAUUAGCUAGUUGGAGGGGUAAAGGCUCACCAAGGCGACGAUCCGUAGCCGGUCUGAGAGGAUGAUCAGCCACACUGGAACUGAGACACGGUCCAGACUCCUACGGGAGGCAGCAGUGGGGAAUAUUGCACAAUGGGCGCAAGCCUGACGGAGCCAUACCGCGUGGGUGAAGAAGGCCUUCGGGUUGUAAAGCCCUUUUGUUGGGAAAGAAAAGCAGCAGGUUAAUACCCCGGUGUUCUGACGGUACCCAAAGAAUAAGCAACGGCUAACUUCGUG
Molecule: ribosomal RNA, 498 nt
Filed under: uncultured bacterium
Lineage: Bacteria
Description: partial 16S ribosomal RNA
Rfam family: Bacterial small subunit ribosomal RNA
Source: RNAcentral